This is a long non-coding RNA of Triticum aestivum (bread wheat), 935 nucleotides long. RefSeq lists it as uncharacterized. The transcript is spliced from 3 exons. Lineage: Eukaryota; Viridiplantae; Streptophyta; Magnoliopsida; Poales; Poaceae. The record is from RefSeq and is a predicted model, not a curated record.
AUUCUCCAAGCGCACGCCGCUGUGUGGGUCGCCGAGACGCCAAGGCCGAGGCAGAGCUCCAGGCCAUCGAGGUCGCGUACGCCGCCGAGUCCGGCAAGCGCCGCCAACUCCCAGACUGGUCCAAGGCACCCGCCCCCGCCUCCGUCUGCCCAUAGCCCAACCCAGUCCCCUCGCCCCCCUCCUGCCAAGUGGACUUCACAUUCCAAAGGAGGGACAGAAUCUGGAGUAAUUGAUUAUUUCCAAAAUCUGGAGUAAUCUUCUCAAGUUACAUGAUCAGUUGUGCUUGACUGAAAAUUUUCACAGGAAAAUUUUGACUGGAGUAACAGAGGCAUAACAGUACAAAUUACAGGCGAAUGUGGAUGUUGCACACUAUUGUGAAGGUGUAGCACUGCCCAAUUAAAUUUCCACUUCACAUAUCUACUUCAAUUUCUACUACAAAUUCACCUUUUCAACAGCAGACGCGGGGCAGAGAAGUCAGACGGCGAGGAUGAGCAGAAGCAUCAGACGGCGAGGAGGAGCAGAAGCAUCAGACGGCGAGGACUCGAUCUGGGGGCGUUGGCUUCGCCCAACAGCUGCAGCAUCAGAGGCUGGAGGGAAUCGCGGCGGCAGCAGAAGGAAGCGGCGGCCGGCGACUUGCCCAAAUCCCGCACCGGCGGCCGCGGGCGCGAGGAAGCGGGCAGAGGAUGAGGGCGCGGGCCGCACCGGCUAGGGACGCGAGCAGGGCGACGAGGGAGGUGCCUUCAGCCGUGGAGGAGGCGGGCGUCCAGUUGGUCGCCGCGGAGGAGCAGUCACCUCCGUGUGGGCGGCGGCGCAGCUCGCCUUCGUGCAGGCGGCGCAGGCGGGCAGGGGCGCCGCGGAUUGGCAGCGGCGGCGCAGCGGCGACGCAGGUGGACGGCAGCGCGCUGGGCUCUACGGUGGCUGCCGACGGCGCGCUG